This 428-nucleotide long non-coding RNA is filed under the name Homo sapiens (human). RNAcentral describes it as "HSALNT0258395". Lineage: Eukaryota; Metazoa; Chordata; Mammalia; Primates; Hominidae. The record is from RNAcentral.
UCUCGUCAAAACUUUGGAGGGCUCUGUCAGUUUGAAAAGAACAUGACCUUUAAAUUGUAUCAGUAUGUUUGCUGGUGCAUAAGGGAGAGGAAAAGGUUCGUCCUGAUGGAAAACCACUCAGAAGCCAAGGAGUAAUUCAGAGGGAACCAGCCCAGGAAGAAUCAAGAAAGCUGCCCACAGUGUCAUUCUUCAGCUGAGAAAAGAGAGAGUUGACUAACUCCUCGGACUGGAGUGAGGACUCACAGAGGUGGUAGGACACUAACCAUCUAUGUCUCCAUUUCCUGGGUUGUAACACUGAGGUAGAACAUCUCACUGUCCCAUGGAGGAUUAUGUUAUUUUUGGAGAUUAAUAAUUUUGGAGGAAGAAAGGUGGCUUCCUGAAAAGGAAGUCACAUGAAGAAGCAACUUACACGGUGGUCUCUUUAAAUA